Molecule: ribosomal RNA, 385 nt
Filed under: uncultured bacterium
Lineage: Bacteria
Description: bacterial SSU rRNA
Rfam family: Bacterial small subunit ribosomal RNA
Source: RNAcentral
AUUGAACGCUGGCGGAAUGCUUUACACAUGCAAGUCGAACGAUGAACCUUAGCUUGCUAGGGGGAUUAGUGGCGAACGGGUGAGUAAUAUAUCGGAACGUACCUUGUAAUGGGGGAUAACUAGUCGAAAGAUUAGCUAAUACCGCAUACGCCCUGAGGGGGAAAGUAGGGGAUCUUCGGACCUUGCGCUAUCAGAUGAGCCUAGGUCGGAUUAGCUAGUUGGUGAGGUAAUGGCUCACCAAGGCGACGAUCCGUAACUGGUCUGAGAGGAUGAUCAGUCACACUGGAACUGAGACACGGUCCAGACUCCUACGGGAGGCAGCAGUGGGGAAUAUUGGACAAUGGCGAAAGCCUGAUCCAGCAAUGCCGCGUGCAGGAUGAAGGCC